This 329-nucleotide ribosomal RNA is filed under the name uncultured eukaryote. RNAcentral describes it as "partial 18S ribosomal RNA". It matches the Rfam family "Eukaryotic small subunit ribosomal RNA", at positions 1470 to 1796 of the family's 1831-position model. The record is from RNAcentral.
CCCUUAGAUGUUCUGGGCCGCACGCGCGCUACACUGAUGCAUUCAACGAGUCUAAAACCUGCUCUGAUAGGGGUGGGUAAUCUUUUGAAUGUGCAUCGUGAUUGGGAUAGAUGAUUGCAAUUUUUCAUCUUCAACGAGGAAUGCCUAGUAAACGCAAGUCAUCAGCUUACAUUGAUUACGUCCCUGCCCUUUGUACACACCGCCCGUCGCUCCUACCGAUUGAAUGAUCCGAUGAAUAUCAUGGAUUGAGGAUGCAAGUAGGUUCGCCUAUCUUCAUCUUCGAGAAGUGAAGUAAAUCUUAUCAUUUAGAGGAAGGAGAAGUCGUAACA